RNAcentral lists this transfer RNA (66 nucleotides) under Bolma rugosa. RNAcentral describes it as "tRNA-Cys". Lineage: Eukaryota; Metazoa; Mollusca; Gastropoda; Trochida; Turbinidae. The record is from RNAcentral.
GACUCUGUAGUUGAAUAAUACAACAGUAAAUUGCAAGUUUAAAGGUGUAUAGUUUGUACCAGGGUU